AGUGAACGCUGGCGGUAGGCUUAACACAUGCAUGUCGAACGGCAGCACAGUAAGAGCUUGCUCUUACGGGUGGCGAGUGGCGGACGGGUGAGGAAUACAUCGGAAUCUACUUUUUCGUGGGGGAUAACGUAGGGAAACUUACGCUAAUACCGCAUACGACCUACGGGUGAAAGCAGGGGAUCUUCGGACCUUGCGCGAUUGAAUGAGCCGAUGUCGGAUUAGCUAGUUGGCGGGGUAAAGGCCCACCAAGGCGACGAUCCGUAGCUGGUCUGAGAGGAUGAUCAGCCACACUGGAACUGAGACACGGUCCAGACUCCUACGGGAGGCAGCAGUGGGGAAUAUUGGACAAUGGGCGCAAGCCUGAUCCAGCCAUACCGCGUGGGUGAAGAAGGCCUUCGGGUUGUAAAGCCCUUUUGUUGGGAAAGAAAAGCAGCAGGUUAAUACCCCGCUGUUCUGACGGUACCCAAAGAAUAAGCACCGGCUAACUUCGUG
Molecule: ribosomal RNA, 492 nt
Filed under: uncultured bacterium
Lineage: Bacteria
Description: partial 16S ribosomal RNA
Rfam family: Bacterial small subunit ribosomal RNA
Source: RNAcentral